ACUUGCAAGUUAUAUGACAAUUAGUCUAUUAAGUAAUGGGGACAAAGCCUGAAACAUGUGAGGGGAUGCAUUUUGUGAGGUCUAAUAAGGGACUACACAAUGAAUGGUAAGACCUCAGGAAGUACACAGGAGCAGAGAGAUAUUGGUAGGCAUGUCGAUAGAUCCUUGAGGACACCAGGGCAAAUAAGCAAGGUGGUUAAGAAGCUAUAUGGGAUACUUACCUUUCUGAGACUGGACAUUGAAUACAAUAGCAAGGAAGCUGGGGAACUGUAUAAGACAAUAGCUAGGCCACAGCUGGAAUGCUGUGUGCAGUAUUGAUCGUCACACAAUAGGGAGGAUGGGAUUGCACUGGAGAGUACAGAAGGAGAUUCACCAGGAUGUUGCCGAGGCUAAAGUCUUGCAACUUUGAAGCGAGACUCGAUAGUUUGGGGUUGUUUUCCUUUGAGCAGAAAAGGCAGCGAGAGAACCAGAUUGUGGUCUACAAAAUCAUGAGGGGUAUAGAUGGGGUUGAAAGGAAGAAACUUUUCCCUUGUGGGUGGGUGGUAUCAGUAAUGAGAAGAGAUUUAAAACAAGGGGCAGGAGAUUUGAAGGGUGGUGUGUAUCUGUGCUGGGAAUAAAACUUUAUGAUUCCAUCUCCCACUUUCUAAUUUCAAAGCCAAUCACUUUCUCCUGUUUCUUUCUCCACCUCACUCUGAACUCCAUUAACCCACAACAAAAACAACUGAACAACUGCAGCUGUUGGAAGUCAGAAAUUGUUAGCCAAUCCCCGCCCCGCUCCUUCAACUAAUGACCAAUCAAAUAAUCGGAACUCGGGGCCUUCCACGGAAAACGCCCGCCUCUACCUCCUAUUGGUGAGAGCGUAGUAAUUGGCGGAACAACGGGCCAAACAAAAAAGGCUCUGACGGAAGCCCCGCCUAUGGACUGUAGGCUAGUGCGCAGACCCGGAAGCGGGUGUCAGCUGUAGUGGGUGGGGGAUUUCCGGGUGGAUUGUGGAGACGGAGAGAAAUGAGAAUAAUGUCCUGUCGGAGAGUGUUUCCGGGAUGAUUAUAGUGAGGAAACGUCGUCAUACUGUAAUGGUAUUCUGAACACAGACUGGUCCGGGAAGGCCAACUGCAGUUUGGAAGGAAAAGUACCGACCGUCCCUUUUCAGGAGGGUGAAGGUCUCAAUGGGAUCAUGAUGAGAAGGAGCUGGGGUUGGACUGGGGUGCACAAAGCUAAAAAUCACGCGACACCAGUUUAUAGUCCAACGGGAUUUAUUUCCAAGUACAAGCUUUUGGAGCUCUGCCCCUUCAGGUAGCCUGCGAGCUCCAAAAGCUGGUACUUUCAGAUUAAUCUGUUGCACUGUGACCUGAUGUUGUGUGAUUUGUAACCAAUGAGAUCAGACAGUGUGUGACCCGGGGGAGGAUGGAGAUCCCAGUGAGGUCAGUCAGUGUGUGACCCCGGGGACGAUGGGGAUCCCAGUGAGAUCAGACUGUGUGGGGUCCCGGGAAGGAUGGGGAUCCCAGCGAGAUCAGACUGAGAGAGAUCUGGGGAGGUUGAAGGAGAUCACGGUGAAAUUGAGGCUGAGCUCAGCCAAUGCACGUGUGUAGUUCAUGCAGUCUGCUCUGUUCUUUGAUAAGGAGUUUAGUGGUUCACAUUCAACAGAUUUAUAUCUCAUUUCUCACUCCACUUUCUUGUCUCCUGAACCACUCUCCUGGUCUCUUCAUUGAAUGAGUGUUGGUCCCACAGCUGAGUGAGGGAUCUACCUUUCCAUGACAUUAUAGAUUACAAUUGAGUGCAGUUCCUCUCUGCUGGUGGGCUACAACAAGUCGCCUUGGUUCUCAGGUUUCACUUCCUGGAUCUGUUUUGAGUUCAACCUACUUAGUGUGGUUGUAGUGCCACACAGCACAAUGGAGGUGUCUCCAAAGUGAAGACAAAAUCCGGGAACACUUGUCACCAGCAUUGCUGAAGGAUCAAACAGGGAAGAAGGUCCAAAAUCUCCCAAAGUGUUCGAAUGGACCCAGGGGCAGUUCCAGAGGACUGGAGGAUAACUGAUGUGGUCCACUUUUCAAGAUGGGUGAUAAAGGUGAACCAA
Chiloscyllium plagiosum (whitespotted bambooshark) is the source of this 2074-nucleotide non-coding RNA. The record is from RefSeq and is a predicted model, not a curated record. NCBI's taxonomy places the organism in Eukaryota, Metazoa, Chordata, Chondrichthyes, Orectolobiformes, Hemiscylliidae.